GUAGUAUCAGAGGCAAAGUCUAAACUAGGAAAUGAGAAUUUAUGUGAUUUCUGCACUCGAGACUAUCGCAAUUACUGUCUACAACAGGCUCUACAUUUCACUAGACUAACAAUUGCAUGAAUUCAUUCCCCAUUGCUGUCCCCCAAUGGCCCUCAAUUUCUCAAACCAAGCAAUUUCAUGAUUUCAUAUUACUUUGCAGCAUAUAAUUCACAGACUCAGGAAGUUAUUCUUCAUUUAGCAAUCAUCAUUUAGGAAAACAACAUCAUGCCAGAAAAUAUACCUUUAGACACAAUCAACAUCAAAUGCCACAAGUCUAUUAGACGAGUUCCACUGUUGCGAUGGUGAGCCUCACACACACACUAGAUUAUAUGACCGUUUAUUGCAGGGCAUGUGGCACACAGGUCAUGAGAAUCCACAAAGGCAAAUAAUCAACAAUGGUUAAGACAUAAA
RNAcentral lists this long non-coding RNA (450 nucleotides) under Musa acuminata (dwarf banana). RNAcentral's name for it is "long non-coding RNA (MACU_LNC004353)". Lineage: Eukaryota; Viridiplantae; Streptophyta; Magnoliopsida; Zingiberales; Musaceae. The record is from RNAcentral.